This 116-nucleotide ribosomal RNA is filed under the name Diaphorina citri (Asian citrus psyllid). The record is from RNAcentral. Lineage: Eukaryota; Metazoa; Arthropoda; Insecta; Hemiptera; Psyllidae.
ACCAGCGGCGACAGCACGUUGAAUGCACCAGUUCCCAAGGAUCACUGAAGUUAAGAAACAUUGCGCGUGGUUAGUACCUGGAUGGUGACCAUGUGGGGAGGCGCAUGCUGCUGGGU